CGUAUAUUAAAGUUGUUGCAGUUAAAAAGCUCGUAGUUGAACCUUUGGCCUGGCUGGCAGGUCCGCCUCACCGCGUGCACUUGUCCGGCCGGGCCUUUUCUUCUGGAGAACCGCAUGCCCUUCACUGGGUGUGUUGGGGACCAGGACUUUUACUUUGAAAAAAUUAGAGUGUUCAAAGCAGGCCUUUGCUCGAAUACGUUAGCAUGGAAUAAUAGAAUAGGACGUGCGGUCCUAUUUUGUUGGUUUCUAGGACCGCCGUAAUGAUUAAUAGGGACAGUCGGGGGCAUCAGUAUUCAAUUGUCAGAGGUGAAAUUCUUGGAUUUAUUGAAGACUAACUACUGCGAAAGCAUUUGCCAAGGAUGUUUUCAUUAAUCAGUGAACGAAAGUUAGGGGAUCGAAGACGAUCAGAUACCGUCGUAGUCUUAACCAUAAACUAUGCCGACUAGGGAUCGGGCGGUGUUUCUAUUGUGACCCGCUCGGCA
This 482-nucleotide ribosomal RNA is filed under the name uncultured eukaryote. Its description in RNAcentral is "SSU rRNA". It matches the Rfam family "Eukaryotic small subunit ribosomal RNA", at positions 598 to 1085 of the family's 1831-position model. The record is from RNAcentral.